This 85-nucleotide transfer RNA is filed under the name Felis catus (domestic cat). It matches the Rfam family "tRNA". From Rfam's summary of the family: Transfer RNA (tRNA) molecules are approximately 80 nucleotides in length. Their secondary structure includes four short double-helical elements and three loops (D, anti-codon, and T loops). Further hydrogen bonds mediate the characteristic L-shaped molecular structure. tRNAs have two regions of fundamental functional importance: the anti-codon, which is responsible for specific mRNA codon recognition, and the 3' end, to which the tRNAs corresponding amino acid is attached (by aminoacyl-tRNA synthetases). tRNAs cope with the degeneracy of the genetic code in two manners: having more than one tRNA (with a specific anti-codon) for a particular amino acid; and 'wobble' base-pairing, i.e. permitting non-standard base-pairing at the 3rd anti-codon position. RNAcentral also lists the same sequence under 2 other names. Lineage: Eukaryota; Metazoa; Chordata; Mammalia; Carnivora; Felidae. The record is from Rfam by way of RNAcentral.
CCCUGGGUGGCUUAGUCAGUUAAGCACCUGACUUCAGCUCAGGUCAUGAUCUGGCAGUCUGUGAGUUCGAGCCCCACAUCAGGCU